AUUGUGCAGACAUAGUUUAAAAGCAUCUCUCAGAUAAUAAUCAGAUGCCCAGGAAGAAUGCAUUGCUCUUAAGACUUUAAAUGGAAAAUAUGUGUGACAGAGAGCCAUCUAAAAUAAACAUUUAUUAGAAAUUCUCACUGGGGAAAGGAACACAUUCCCUAGGUCAGUUGUUCUAAAAAUGAACAAGAAUAAGCACACCUGGGAGACUGUUAACCGUGCAGGUUCCUGCAUUCUGGCUCUAGAAUUAUGAUGACUUAAGUCUGGAAUGAUUCCUGGGAAUUUUUGUGUCAACAAACUCCUCAAGUGAUUUUGUUGUAUGUUGUCCACAGGUGCCACUUUGAGAUUCUUAACAAAAGAAGUUCACUGGCAUUGCUGGUUUUUAGCAAAAUAUUAAGGAGAUGUUAAGGAACAUGCUAAAGAUCACUCGGCUGGAAAUGAAGCUCAGAGAGGUUAAAUCAUUUUGCCCAGGUAAUCAGGGCUCAUGGGCCGAAGCCAAGAUUGCCUCACAGUAGAGUUACAGGUAAGAGCCUCUGCUGAAAUCUGACCUGGUACUAAAUGGAGUCUCUCCCGGGCCCUCUUAGUGGUUCCUGAUUACAAAACGUUCUACUGGGCAGUAAAGAAAGAAUGCUUAACACUUUUUUUUUCUAAUGGGAGUUUUGGAGCCUGGAAGGCAGCUUCCAAUUCCUUGUAGAGCCUGAAUCUGACUCUGACCUGAGCAUGUAAUAUUCUCCUGCAAAGCACUGCUUUUAGUCUUCCAAGCACCUAUCAUAUUUCUAUGUGCAUGGUAAGAUACCAAUACAUACUGUAGGGUAAAUAUACAUGUGAAUGGAAAUAUCAUCUCCAUGUGUAUCUCUGCACACAGAGAGCUGUAUCGUACUGUAUUGCAAUAUUCUGUAGGGUCAAUUCCAGUUACCUUUUCUUUUUCCACAUUUCUAGA
This 937-nucleotide long non-coding RNA is filed under the name Heterocephalus glaber (naked mole-rat). RNAcentral's name for it is "lncRNA (ENSHGLG00000032918.1)". Lineage: Eukaryota; Metazoa; Chordata; Mammalia; Rodentia; Bathyergidae. The record is from RNAcentral.